This 165-nucleotide ribosomal RNA is filed under the name uncultured bacterium. RNAcentral's name for it is "partial 16S rRNA". It matches the Rfam family "Bacterial small subunit ribosomal RNA", at positions 355 to 511 of the family's 1533-position model. The record is from RNAcentral.
UAGGGAAUCUUCGGCAAUGGACGAAAGUCUGACCGAGCAACGCCGCGUGAGUGAAGAAGGUUCUCGGAUCGUAAAACUCUGUUGGUAGAGAAGAACGUUGGUGAGAGUGGAAAGCUCAUCAAGUGACGGUAACUACCCAGAAAGGGACGGCUAACUACGUGCCGG